CGAGUAAUAGAAAGCGUGUCGAGUGCUUUGUAUCGCCAAUACUAAGCCACCCAGCCCUGAAGAAGUGAGAGCAUUCAACUCACCUUCCUCACCAAACACCACCUAAAAGCAUUCGUUUCAGACCAUCCUCUCCACAAAGAAAGCUGUCAUGUGGUGGUGGAAGCAGUAGCAGUAGCAGUAGCACCCGCCUUCUGGUGCUUGUUUUACUUGACAGGUUACGAGGUCCUUAUCACGGCCAAUUUAUUUGGACUCUUUCCCAACCCGACUCAUCACCGUUCAAUCACUGUUUGGAGAGAAGAGAGAGGAUAAAGUAGCUCCAUCUUUUGCAUGCUAAUCAUCAAAAUCGCCUCUCAGUCUUUCUCCAAGACAAGAAUUGCACACUUUUGGAGGUUCCACUGAAGUAGGAGGCGGCCGGAACCGGAGAGGUUAAGUCACAAGAUGAAGCCCAGGAACACCAGCCGUGGAAAGCCGCAAAGUUGCUGUUUUGGAUUGCUGGCCGUAAUCUUUCUGAUCUCGCUGAGCUACCUUACCAUGUCCAAAACCAGCAUGUUGCGCUUCUCCGUUGUGAACUCUCAGCUACCGCCGAUGACGAACGGGAAUACCUCCGACAUGGCAUCUGAUGUCUAUCCUGUGACGGAAGAUUCUUCGAUCCGUUCUCAAGGACUAGAAACAGAGGAGGCGGAAUUGGGAAGAAGCCUGGCUUGUGAGCUGAAAGAUGGUCAGUGUGAGACGGGUCACGGUAGGAUGGUGGUUAAGAAUUCUUCAACCGUUGUUGAUCAAGAUCCGACAAGAGUGAUGGCUAGCUCAGAUGAAUUAGUUUUUAAUGAAGAAGAAAGACGUGAUAAUGUAAAGCCUGGGAGGAAACCAAUAUGUGAUCUUUCAAACACAAAAUCAGAUAUCUGUGAAGCAGAUGGAGAUGUUAGAAUUAUCGGCAAGGAUACCCGCAUGAUAUAUGUUGCAAACUCUGAAUUCAGCAACAGAGAAACAGGUGAAUCUUGGACCAUCAAACCUUAUGCUCGUAAGUGGGACAAAGGCUCAGGUGCUAAAGUUCGGGAGGUAACGAUGAAACUAGUGAAGAGUCAUGGAGAAGAUAAACACUGUGAUGUUAAUCAUACUGUCCCAGCUUUGGUCUUUGCAAUUGGUGGAUGGACUGGAAAUUUCUUUCAUGACUUUGCUGAUGUGUUGGUUCCUCUCUUCGAGACUUCGUACCAUUUUGAAGGCGAGGUCCAAUUUCUCAUAGCGAACAUCAAACCGUUGUGGAUCAACAAGUACCACAAAUACUUUGAGAAGCUCUCACGGUACAAAAUCAUCGACUAUGACAAUGAUGAUAGAGUGCAUUGCUUCAAGCAAGUGACUCUUGGACUCCGGUGCGACCAAGGUGACUUUACAAUCAACCCCUCGAAAGAUCCUUAUGGUUAUACCAUGGCCGACUUCACCAAGUUCACAAGAAGUGCUUACUCACUGAAGAGAGAUCAUCCAGUGCGGCCAGGUGAACAAGCUGGUAAGAAGCCAAGGAUAUUGAUCGUAACAAGGAAGGCAACCCGAAAAUUCACAAAUGUAAAGGAGAUAGUUCGUAUGGCUAAGAAGGUGGGCUUCAAUGCAGUGGUCACUGAGGCAGAGGCCAACAUUACUAGAUUUUCGCAGGUGGUGAACUCAUGCGAUGUGAUGAUGGGUGUUCACGGAUCAGGACUUACUAAUAUCGUCUUCCUUCCAACACACUCUGUGGUGAUCCAAGUAGUCCCUUGGGGCAAUCUAGAUUGGAUAGCUGGGAAUUACUUCAGAGAUCCUUCCAGGCAAAUGAAACUGCACUAUUUGGAAUACAGUAUCAAUGAGGAAGAGACUACUCUGUCGGAGUUGUAUCCAAGAGACCAUGCUGUGUUCAAAGACCCAAUGUCGCUUCACCAUCAAGGAUGGGAUACAUUUUCCAGGAUUUUCCUGGUUGAGCAGAAUGUGAAGCUUGAUGUGAGGAAGUUUAGGUCUGUCCUGGAACAUGCUCUUCAACUUCUCCGUGAGCAGCAGUACAGAUGAAUUUAUCUGCUUAUCAUCAGUGAGCAGGUUUCAUUACCAUGCAUUCAGUUCUUAGCGAAAGGUGACAAGUUGCUGGUUGAUUUCUUCAUUUAUACUAGCUGUUUCGAAGUGAGAUAGGAGAUACUAUAAUGUUGAUAUGGCUCACAUUGCUUUCUUGUUGAAACAUUGUCAGGCAAUUCAACAAGGAUGGUGCAAAAGUUAGAAUUCUGAAGCCCCCAUGGGAAAUCAUGUGGGCCAAUUCACUGCUUCGAUGCCAACGUCAGGAUUGGUGGGUGCAGGUCAGUUAUGGUUAUGGUGAAAGCAUUAAAUAAACUUAUCUACUAUGUUUCCUUGUGAUGAUAGCAUGCACGUCUCAUAUUAAUAUUUCACAUGACUCUCUUGGGGAAACCCCAGGCAGUAGGCAAAGCCUUGAGGAAAACAACACAAGCACUUCACUGCAUGUGCUUUACUGGGUAUUGAUAAUAACAGAGCUGGCAACUACAUGGUGAGAGGUGGGGUUUGGUUCAUGACAUUUGAUAUUUUGUGUUGAACAGCCAUGGAUGAUGCAUGGAUCUCCCACCUGCCCACACUGCUGUCACAGGAAAAGAAGGUUGAAUUUUAUGAGUUCUUGUGAUUCAGGUGACAGGAUCAGCUCAAGAUUUACUUUCCUCACAAAUGCUUUUCGACCACCCGCUUUUCCUCAACAAUAAGAUUUUCAUGUCUUUAACUAUUUACCUAUUGGUUUUCGGUCGGUUCGUCAGUCGGUUUCUGCUUUGGAAAAUAUCAUUUUCGCUUUUGAGAUGAAUGAUUGGGUUCAUAAA
Molecule: non-coding RNA, 2828 nt
Organism: Musa acuminata subsp. malaccensis (wild Malaysian banana)
Lineage: Eukaryota; Viridiplantae; Streptophyta; Magnoliopsida; Zingiberales; Musaceae
Source: RefSeq, a predicted model, not a curated record